GGACGGGUGAGUAAUGUCUGGGAAACUGCCCGAUGGAGGGGGGUAACUACUGGAAACGGUAGCUAAUACCGCAUAACGUCGCAAGACCAAAGAGGGGGACCUUCGGGCCUCUUGCCAUCGGAUGUGCCCAGAUGGGAUUAGCUAGUAGGUGGGGUAACGGCUCACCUAGGCGACGAUCCCUAGCUGGUCUGAGAGGAUGACCAGCCACACUGGAACUGAGACACGGUCCAG
RNAcentral lists this ribosomal RNA (231 nucleotides) under uncultured bacterium. RNAcentral describes it as "partial 16S ribosomal RNA". It matches the Rfam family "Bacterial small subunit ribosomal RNA", at positions 100 to 334 of the family's 1533-position model. The record is from RNAcentral.